GAUGAACGCUGGCGGCGUGCCUAAUACAUGCAAGUCGAGCGAACAGAUGAGGAGCUUGCUCCUCUGACGUUAGCGGCGGACGGGUGAGUAACACGUGGAUAACCUACCUAUAAGACUGGGAUCACUUCGGGAAACCGGAGCUAAUACCGGAUAAUAUAUUGAACCGCAUGGUUCAAUAGUGAAAGACGGUUUUGCUGUCACUUAUAGAUGGAUCCGCGCUGCAUUAGCUAGUUGGUAAGGUAACGGCUUACCAAGGCAACGAUGCGUAGCCGACCUGAGAGGGUGAUCGGCCACACUGGAACUGAGACACGGUCCAGACUCCUACGGGAGGCAGCAGUAGGGAAUCUUCCGCAAUGGGCGAAAGCCUGACGGAGCAACGCCGCGUGAGUGAUGAAGGUCUUCGGAUCGUAAAACUCUGUUAUUAGGGAAGAACAAAUGUGUAAGUAACUAUGCACGUCUUGACGGUACCUAAUCAGAAAGCCACGGCUAACUACGUG
This 497-nucleotide ribosomal RNA is filed under the name uncultured bacterium. RNAcentral's name for it is "partial 16S ribosomal RNA". It matches the Rfam family "Bacterial small subunit ribosomal RNA", at positions 28 to 507 of the family's 1533-position model. The record is from RNAcentral.